UUGCUUGCAGGUUCUGACAUUAAGUCCUAAGUCUGGCUUAGGUACCGAAUUAGGCUUGAUGUGUAUUUUGUUAGUGUAGGCCUGACGUUGGCCUAUAUGUGUUUGAGUGAUAGCUUGUGAAGGGUGGUGGAUAUUAAAGCUAUGCGGUAUCAUUGGUUGGCCGAUCAUGUUCUUGUUUGAUUGUUGGUCGAUCGGCCAAUGGUAUUUGUAUAGUCUAAGUGUCUAACACUACAUGAGUACUGAACUCAAGCGUAUAUAUGGUUAACUAGGGAUUGCUUGUUGACUUAUUUUAAUGCAGGUUCCCGUUACUUGAAGCUAGAUCAUGGCAGGA
Molecule: long non-coding RNA, 331 nt
Filed under: Brassica napus (rape)
Lineage: Eukaryota; Viridiplantae; Streptophyta; Magnoliopsida; Brassicales; Brassicaceae
Description: long non-coding RNA (BNAP_LNC000549)
Source: RNAcentral